GCCCCUGUAGCUCAGCUCAGAGCAUCRGAUUUGUAAUCCGGGCGUCAGGGGUUCAAAUCCCCUCGGGUGCA
This 71-nucleotide transfer RNA is filed under the name Tarletonbeania crenularis. RNAcentral's name for it is "tRNA-Thr". Lineage: Eukaryota; Metazoa; Chordata; Actinopteri; Myctophiformes; Myctophidae. The record is from RNAcentral.